GUCGAGAAUCUUCCGCAAUGGGCGCAAGCCUGACGGAGCGACACCGCGUGCAGGAUGAAGGCCUUCGGGUUGUAAACUGCUGUCACGCUAUAGGAAUGGUCUGGUGUGAACAAUGCCAGGCUUGACUAAAGCGAGAGGAAGCACCGGCUAACUCCGUGCCAGCAGCCGCGGUAAGACGGAGGGUGCAAACGUUGUUCGGAAUCACUGGGCAUAAAGAGCACGUAGGCUGCGCGCUAAGUCAAGUGUGAAAUCCCCCGGCUCAACCGGGGAACUGCACCUGAUACUGGCGCGCUCGAGGACGGUAGGGGUGAGUGGAACUCCAGGUGGAGCGGUGAAAUGCGUAGAUAUCUGGAGGAACACCGGUGGCGAAAGCGGCUCACUGGACCGUCUCUGACGCUGAGGUGCGAAAGCUAGGGUAGCAAACGGGAUUAGAUACCCCAGUAGUCC
RNAcentral lists this ribosomal RNA (447 nucleotides) under uncultured bacterium. Its description in RNAcentral is "bacterial SSU rRNA". It matches the Rfam family "Bacterial small subunit ribosomal RNA", at positions 354 to 796 of the family's 1533-position model. The record is from RNAcentral.